This 60-nucleotide transfer RNA is filed under the name Cautires indus. RNAcentral's name for it is "tRNA-Leu". Lineage: Eukaryota; Metazoa; Arthropoda; Insecta; Coleoptera; Lycidae. The record is from RNAcentral.
AUGUGACAGAAAAGUGUGAUAAAUUUAAGAUUUAUUUAUAAAGUAUAUCUUUCUUUAGAA